UACGAGGGGGGCGAGCGUUGUUCGGAAUUAUUGGGCGUAAAGGGUGCGUAGGCGGUUUGGUAAGUCUUAUGUGAAAUCUAUGGGCUCAACUCAUAGACUGCAUGAGAAACUGCCGGGCUUGAGUAUGGGAGAGGUAAGCGGAAUUCCUGGUGUAGCGGUGAAAUGCGUAGAUAUCAGGAGGAACACCUGCGGUGUAGACAGCUUACUGGACCAUUUCUGACGCUGAGACACGAAAGCGUGGGUAGCAAACAGG
This 253-nucleotide ribosomal RNA is filed under the name uncultured bacterium. RNAcentral's name for it is "partial 16S ribosomal RNA". It matches the Rfam family "Bacterial small subunit ribosomal RNA", at positions 524 to 776 of the family's 1533-position model. The record is from RNAcentral.